AUGCAUGCAGUCGAGCGUGAUCGUGGCUUCGGCCACAAUGAUAAAGCGGCAGACGGCUGAGUAACGCGUGAGUAAUCUGCCCUCCGGUGGGGUAUAACCUCGGGAAACUGAGGAUAAUCCCGCAUACGACCUGCAUCCCUUGGGGUGCAGAUGAAAGGCUUCGGUCGCCGGAGGAGGAGCUCGCGUCCUAUCAGGUUGUUGGUGAGGUAAUGGCUCACCAAGCCGAUGACGGGUAGCUGGUCUGAGAGGAUGACCAGCCAGAGGGGGACUGAGAACGGCCCCCACUCCUACGGGAGGCAGCAGCAGGGAAUCUUGGGCAAUGGGCGAAAGCCUGACCCAGCGACGUCGCGUGGGGGACGAAGGCCUUCGGGUUGUAAACCCCUUUUCCGAGGGAAGAGAAAGGACGGUACCUCGGGUAUAAGCCCCGGCUAACUACGUGCCAGCAGCCGCGGUAAUACGUAGGGGGCAGCGUUACCCGGAAUCACUGGGCGUAAAGUGCGCGUAGGCGGUUGGAUAAGUCUCUUGUGAAAGCUCCCGGCUCAACUGGGAGAGGUCAAGGGAUACUAUUUGACUAGAGGACAUCAGAGGUAAGCAGAAUUCCCGGUGUAGCGGUGGAAUGCGUAGAUAUCGGGAGGAACACCAGUGGCGAAAGCGGCUUACUGGGAUGUAGCUGACGCUGAGGCGCGAGAGCGUGGGGAGCAAACUGGAUUAGAUACCCAGGUAGUCCACGCCCUAAACGAUGGAUACUAGGUAUGGGGGGGUAUUGACCCCCUCCGUGCCGUAGCUAACGCGUUAAGUAUCCCGCCUGGGGACUACGGCCGCAAGGCUAAAACUCAAAGGAAUUGACGGGGGCCCGCACAAGCGGCGGAGCGUGUGGUUUAAUUCGAUGCUAAGCGA
This 897-nucleotide ribosomal RNA is filed under the name uncultured Chloroflexota bacterium. RNAcentral describes it as "bacterial SSU rRNA". It matches the Rfam family "Bacterial small subunit ribosomal RNA", at positions 51 to 964 of the family's 1533-position model. The record is from RNAcentral. Lineage: Bacteria; Bacillati; Chloroflexota.